Non-coding RNA from Bacteroides stercoris CC31F, 286 nucleotides. The record is from Rfam. Lineage: Bacteria; Pseudomonadati; Bacteroidota; Bacteroidia; Bacteroidales; Bacteroidaceae.
UAUAUUUGUCACCGCUUAGGUGAUACACUCCGUUGUUCCAACGAGUUGUAUAAAAGGGAAUCCGGUGCGAAACCGGAACAGUGCCCGCUACUGUAAAGCCACUUUGCUCCGCCUGCUUGUUGCAGCAACGGAGCAUACGGAAAACAUUCUUCAAAACAAUACCACUGUCUUACAGACGGCUGUUGGUGAGAGCAAACAUCAGUUUGAGCCAUCGCAGACCGGGGACGGGAAGGUGUCGUUUUCCGUAGGGCUGAGUCAGGAAACCUGCCUGGGCAAUUACACAGUC